AAGCGGCGGAGCAUGCGGUAUUAAUUCGAUGCAACGCGAAGAACCUUACCAAGGCUUGACAUACACCGGUAACGCCCAGAGAUGGGUGCCCCUUUGUGGUCGGUGGACAGGUGGUGCAUGGUUGUCGUCAGCUCGUGUCGUGAGAUGUUGGGUUAAGUCCCGCAACGAGCGCAACCCUCGUCCUAUGUUGCCAGCGGGUCAUGCCGGGGACUCAUGGGAGACUGCCGGGGUCAACUCGGAGGAAGGUGGGAUGACGUCAAAUCAUCAUGCCCCUUAUGUCUUGGGCUUCACGCAUGCUACAAUGGCCGGUACAAAGGGCUGCGAUACCGCGAGGUGGAGCGAAUCCCAGAAAGCCGGUCUCAGUUCGGAUUGGGGUCUGCAACUCGACCCCAUGAAGUCGGAGUCGCUAGUAAUCGCAGAUCAGCAACGCUGCGGUGAAUACGUUCCCGGGCCUU
RNAcentral lists this ribosomal RNA (455 nucleotides) under uncultured Cellulomonas sp. RNAcentral describes it as "bacterial SSU rRNA". It matches the Rfam family "Bacterial small subunit ribosomal RNA", at positions 927 to 1382 of the family's 1533-position model. The record is from RNAcentral. Lineage: Bacteria; Bacillati; Actinomycetota; Actinomycetes; Micrococcales; Cellulomonadaceae.